UGGAAAGUAAAAAUCGUAACAAGGUUUCCGUAGGUGAACCUGCGGAAGGAUCAUUGUCGAAACCUGCCUAGCAGAACGACCCGAGAACAUGUUUCAACGCUUGGGGGCGGAGGGUCUUGCGGCUCUUUGCCCCCUUAUCCUAGGAGGCAAGUGUCUUGCGUGUUGCAUUUCGGUGCUUGCGCUUGACUGACCCUCCCGGGCGUACUGAACACCGGCGUGAAUUGCGCCAAGGAACUUGAAUGAAAGAGCGUUUCCCCCGCCGUCCCGGAGACGGUGCUCGUGCGGGUGGUUUCGUCGUCUUCAAUAUGUCUAAACGACUCUCGGCAACGGAUAUCUCGGCUCUCGCAUCGAUGAAGAACGUAGCGAAAUGCGAUACUUGGUGUGAAUUGCAGAAUCCCGUGAACCAUCGAGUCUUUGAACGCAAGUUGCGCCCGAAGCCAUUAGGCCGAGGGCACGUCUGCCUGGGCGUCACACGUCGUUGCCCCCCCCAACCCCCUCGGGAGUUGGAUGGGACGGAUGAUGGCCUCCCGUGUGCUCAGUCACGCGGUUGGCAUAAAUACCAAGUCCUCGGCGACCAACGCCACGACAAUCGGUGGUUGUCAAACCUCGGUUUCCUGUCAAAGUCGCCACAGAUCGCGCUAUUCGCAGACAAUGGAAGUAAAACUGUCGCACGGCACAUCACUAAGCGGAGACCUGAGGAAACACCCCC
This 709-nucleotide ribosomal RNA is filed under the name Rosa caudata. RNAcentral describes it as "eukaryotic LSU rRNA". The stretch from base 316 to 471 matches the Rfam family "5.8S ribosomal RNA". Lineage: Eukaryota; Viridiplantae; Streptophyta; Magnoliopsida; Rosales; Rosaceae. The record is from RNAcentral.